RNAcentral lists this ribosomal RNA (444 nucleotides) under uncultured bacterium. RNAcentral's name for it is "bacterial SSU rRNA". It matches the Rfam family "Bacterial small subunit ribosomal RNA", at positions 331 to 792 of the family's 1533-position model. The record is from RNAcentral.
CCAGACUCCUACGGGAGGCAGCAGUGGGGAAUAUUGCACAAUGGGGGAAACCCUGAUGCAGCGACGCCGCGUGAGUGAAGAAGUAUUUCGGUAUGUAAAGCUCUAUCAGCAGGGAAGAAAAUGACGGUACCUGACUAAGAAGCCCCGGCUAACUACGUGCCAGCAGCCGCGGUAAUACGUAGGGGGCAAGCGUUAUCCGGAUUUACUGGGUGUAAAGGGAGCGUAGACGGCAUGGCAAGUCAGAUGUGAAAGCCCGGGGCUCAACUGCGGGACUGCUUUGGAAACUGUUCAACUGGAGUGCUGGAGAGGUAAGCGGAAUUCCUCGUGUAGCGGUGAAAUGCGUAGAUAUUAGGAGGAACACCAGUGGCGAAGGCGGCUUACUGGACUGUAACUGACGUUGAGGCUCGAAAGCGUGGGGAGCAAACAGGAUUAGAUACCCGGGUA